CCAACAUUGUAGACUAGCACAACCUUAAUUGGGACACCAUGCAUUCAGUAUUCCUACCGUACCAAAAAAAAAAAUAUUAACUAAAAUCAUUGAUUCAAGGCAAUAUCAUUAUGAUCGUCAUACAACCGAUAAAAAUGAAAACAUAACGUUAAAAGUUACGACCGAAGCGCUUUUCUGAAUCGACCUUCUUAGGGAACGCUCAAAGCUGAAUAUUAAGGGCCAACAACUUACAAAGA
This 236-nucleotide long non-coding RNA is filed under the name Mytilus galloprovincialis (Mediterranean mussel). Lineage: Eukaryota; Metazoa; Mollusca; Bivalvia; Mytilida; Mytilidae. The record is from RNAcentral.